GAUGAACGCUGGCGGCGUGCCUAAUACAUGCAAGUCGAGCGAACAGACGAGGAGCUUGCUCCUCUGACGUUAGCGGCGGACGGGUGAGUAACACGUGGAUAACCUACCUAUAAGACUGGGAUAACUUCGGGAAACCGGAGCUAAUACCGGAUAAUAUAUUGAACCGCAUGGUUCAAUAGUGAAAGACGGUUUUGCUGUCACUUAUAGAUGGAUCCGCGCCGCAUUAGCUAGUUGGUAAGGUAACGGCUUACCAAGGCAACGAUGCGUAGCCGACCUGAGAGGGUUAUCGGCCACCGCGGAACUGAGACACGGUCCAGACUCCUACGGGUGGCAGCAGUAGAGAAUCUUCCGCAAUGAGCGAAAGCUUGACGGAGAAACGCCGCGCGAGUGAUGUAGGUCUUCGGAUCGUAAAACUCUGUUAUUAGGGAAGAACAAAUGUGUAAGUAAGUAUGCACGUCUUGACGGUACCUAAUCAGAAAGCCACGGCUAACUACGUG
RNAcentral lists this ribosomal RNA (497 nucleotides) under uncultured bacterium. RNAcentral describes it as "partial 16S ribosomal RNA". It matches the Rfam family "Bacterial small subunit ribosomal RNA", at positions 28 to 507 of the family's 1533-position model. The record is from RNAcentral.